UUUCCGUAGGUGAACCUGCGGAAGGAUCAUUACAAAUCUUUUGCGAGUCUGUGUGCUUAACGGCCGCAGUUCUCACACAUUAGCACAAGGUCGCAAGGCCUUGAUGUUUACGCUUGUAUGUUUGUCAGAGUUAGUUGAGACAAAAAAAAGACAACUUUUAACAAUGGAUCUCUUGGCUCUU
Molecule: unclassified non-coding RNA, 181 nt
Filed under: plant metagenome
Description: partial contains small subunit ribosomal RNA, internal transcribed spacer 1, and 5.8S ribosomal RNA
Source: RNAcentral